UACGAAGGGGGCUAGCGUUGUUCGGAUUUACUGGGCGUAAAGCGCACGUAGGCGGAUCGUUAAGUCGGGGGUGAAAUCCUGGAGCUCAACGUCCAGAACUGCCUUCGAUACUGGCGAUCUUGAGUCCGGAAGAGGUGAGUGGGAACUGCGAGUGUAGAGGUGAAAUUCGUAGAUAUUCGCAGGAACACCAGUGGCGAAGGCGGCUUACUGGUCCAUUACUGGACGCUGAGGGUGCGAAAGCGUGGGGAGCAACAGG
This 256-nucleotide ribosomal RNA is filed under the name uncultured bacterium. RNAcentral's name for it is "partial 16S ribosomal RNA". It matches the Rfam family "Bacterial small subunit ribosomal RNA", at positions 524 to 775 of the family's 1533-position model. The record is from RNAcentral.